Non-coding RNA from Delphinapterus leucas (beluga whale), 6245 nucleotides. Lineage: Eukaryota; Metazoa; Chordata; Mammalia; Artiodactyla; Monodontidae. The record is from RefSeq and is a predicted model, not a curated record.
CUGUCCUCGGCCCUAGCCGCACGUCGCUCCGCCCCGCCGCUUCACGUCCCGCCUACCUGUCCUCCAGAUGCCGCCUCGUCCUUUCGUCCCGCCCACAGUCUCCCGGCGACUUCGCACGUCGCCUCGCCGCACGUCGCCCCGAGCCGCCUCACGUCGUUCCGUUUGCACGUCUUUCCGCCCGGCGUUUCCCCGCCCCACGUCUCACUGCCAACCUCAGCCCGCCUCGCGGCACCCGGUAGGCCGUCGCUCGGCUGAGAUGUGGGCGGCUCUCGGCGGGGCCGGGGGUCUCCAUGUGGGGCUCCUUCUGGGCGGCGCUCGAGGUCUGCACAGCUCGCCUGUCUCCUGCGGCAAGAACCUACUCAAGAAAUUUGCUUCGAAAACCAAGAAGAAGUUUUGGUAUGAAGGUCCUUCCUUGGGCUCUCACUUGACUCACAAGCCGUCUCAGUUGGCAUCCCUGACAAAGAGCACCUCCAAGAGAGCCAGAAGGGAAGACCACGUGCGCCUGAGGGCCCUGAACGGCCUCCUCUACAAAGCGCUGACUGAGUUGCUGUGCACCCCGGAAGUGAGCCAGGAGCUCUGCGACUUGAAUGUGGAGCUGUCCAAGGUCUCUCUGACUUCAGACUUCUCCACCUGCCGCGUGUUCUGGAGGACGACUGUCUCUGAGGCUCAAAACACAAACGUGGAGGCCGUCCUGCAGAGGAGCGCUGCGCACAUGAGGCACCUUCUGAUGUCCCAGCAGACCCUGAGGAACAUGCCGCCAAUAGUGUUUGUUCAGGACAAAAAAAAUGCAGCUGUAGUGGAGGUUGAUCGGUUACUGGCAAUCGCUGAUUUUGGACCCCCGGAUGAAAAAGACUUUGAGCAAAAUGAUUUCAGCACCCCCAAGGCCCUGGACAUUACAUCGCCGCGUGAUACCCUGGGCCCUGCCGCACCCUCGAGUCUGUGUGGGAUCGACCACGAGGCUCUCAACAAGCAGAUCCUGGAGUACAAGAGGAGGAGAGAGAAAGGGCGUGGGAGCAUGGGCCCAGCGUGGCUGGAGCCCACGGCUGAGCUGAUGAGGAAGAGGGAGGCCAGGCCCCGCGUGGACGACAACCUCCCGCCCAAGGACUGCCUGUGGGAGACGGGGAGUGAUGGGCCCCUGGACGGCGGGGCCCUUCCCGAGGAGCACACCCCAGGACGCAAGGGGGCUCCAGGGGCAGAGCAGGAACUAGAGGCAGAGAGAAAGGAUCGCGGGUCCUGACCCGCUCCCGUGAGCACACCGAGACCCGUGCUGCUGGUGCCCCCCGGGAUACCCUUGUGCAGGUGCAGGCUGAGCUGUGCGGGUGUCAUCUCUGAGUCCUUCAGACCUAUUGCUGUGCUGCAGUGAGAGAUGGGGCGAGGCUGUGGAGAGGGUGUGAAAUCUCUUAGGUCGAUGGCGUAUGAUCUGCCCUCCAUAUUUGGGGUUCCAGGCUUGCAUGUUUGCUUGCUCACUAGAGUUUGUCCACGGCCCCCAGAUCCAUACUUGUGGCACUUUCAUGGUUAUUCUCGGACACGGACAGACCAGUGGGAUGCACACGUGGCCUGUGGUCACACAAGGCACUGCUCUGUCUGCUUUGUUCAUCUCGGGCUGUGAACAGCCACCCUCUCUGAUCGGGUUAGCGCCACGUUAGUGCCUUCUGACAGAGAUUUCACUCAUGGUGCCUAAGUGCAAGAGGCCGUGAUGUGUCUCCUAGAGAAAGCACGUGUUAGAUGAGCCUCGUUAGGAAAUAAAUAAAUCAUUUAAUUCUGACACAGAAACGUUGUCCUGGGCUUGGGGCAGCUCCAUUUCCCAACUAUCAUUAACCUUGAAACACUGAAAUGAUAAAGUUCAGAUGAUUGGAGAAAGGUACGCUACAAAGCUAAAACAAGGAAACCUGUAACGUGGCUUUUCAGGGAGUGUAAUUUCCCUUCUUGUAAACUGUUUCAGGAAGGAAAGCGUUGCCUUGCCUCUGCAGCAGUGGCAAGCCCCAAAUGCCACUUUCCCUGUCGGCAUCUGGGACCAGGUGUGAUGCCCCAGCAGGGAUAUGGCACCAAGAAGCUCCGUCUUUGCCGGGACAGUGGCCCCCUCUGAAGGGCUGGCAUCACGGGCCACCCUGUGGAUGCUCCAGGCAUGUUGCUGUUUGAGUGGUGCUUGUGGGAUCCUGCCCCGGAAGGGUGCAUGUAGCCUGUGUGUGGGCUGUCUGCAUUAGGAGUGUGGGUUGCUUACACAGCCGCUUAUGACCAGAGAAGAAAUGUCCAGAGGGAGGAUUGACCUGUGUUAAAAUGUACACGGGAUGUGUCCUGAUCAGGUGUGGUAAGAUGACAGAGUUGGAAACUGCUACCUUGAAAGAAGAGUUCUUGACUCACAGCUCCCGAGAGGAGGGGUGCACCACGCUGCACGGGGCCCACGAGGAGCGCCAGGGUCUGUCAGCAGGCCGAGGGUGAGGAGGAAGCGUGGCUGAACCCGUCUCGUGGCUCCUGGAGGACGGAGUGGGCCAGGAGGGAGUUACAGUGGUUUGUAAGGGUACAAGAGGGGCCAGGAAUCAGACAGACGGUGUAAAAGGAAGGAGCCUGGAACGUGACCCUGGAUGUCCUCCACAGGCCCUGGAAUGCCGGUGCUGGGACGGCUGAUCCCUGACAGCCCUGCACCUGCCCCAGGCACCUCACAAGUGCAGAUGCCGUCUAAUAGCUGCAGGCACGCUGCACAUUUGAUGUGAAAAGAGACAAAACUGAAUACAGGACGCACCCAGCUCACCUUUCAUUUCAUUCAAAGGGCAUAGAACUUUGCUUCCUCAGAGCACAUGGAAGGAGCUCCCAGGCUGCUGGACACGUGGAGCUGGGGAGUGGUUGCUCAGAGAUCCGGGGAAGCUCCGUGCCCUUCCCGGUCCCUCGCCCUGUGCACCUCUUCCAUCUGGCUGUUCCCGGGUUACAUCCUUUCAUAGUAAACCAGUGACCUGCAGGUGGAGCUCAUUAGCAACCAGAUGUCCUACAACUUAAACUUACUGAAGACAGAACAAAGGGACUCUGACUAUGGAUAUCUUAGAAAGGGCCAUCUGAGCAGCCAAAGAACAAAGCUGAAGAUGAGCGAAUAUUAAGCAUGUAAAAACAGCCAAUAGGAAAGAAAAACUGACAGUCUUCCAGGGGAGCACUGCCCACGAAAGUUACUUUUAGUCUUGAAAAACUUCAUGUUCUUCAAAAGGGUUUUUCUACCUUGAGUUUUCCUCUGAUGUCUUGGCCUUCCAAGUCCUAUCAGUAAAGUUCAGAAUACCUAAAAUUUUCUUACGGCAUCUUCUGUUCAAGAGUUUGUUAUACGUAUAGUUUUCUGUUGUUUUUUUUUAAUAAAAAGUAAGUAGUUUUCAUCAUAUGUUUUAAAAAGCAUAUUCAAGUCAUCACCAUCAAAACUGUGACGUAUCUAAGCUUUAGAGUAAAAGAUGGGGAAAGCCUGAGCAAGUGAACUGCCCCAUCGUCUGCCUGCCUGUGGGCUCAACACCAGCCUGUUGAGAGGUGUGGACACCCGUAUCUGAAGGUCGCGUUUCAGAAUUUGCUCAACGCUUAAUUGAAGGUUAUCAGAGCUAUGUAGAAUGGAACACUGGAAAGAAUAAUGCGUCAUGUGACAAAGUAGAGCUCCAAUUUGCCUUUUAAAGACAGUUCGAGAUGAAAAACCAAAAUCUAUCAGAUGAAAUUUGACAGGAAUACACACAAACUCCUAUGUUUGAGAUUUAAAAUGUUAAUAAUCUACAGGAUUGUGGGUUAGGUGAAAAGGGUCUGGUGGUCCCACUGAGUUCUGGCUGAGCUGAGGCGGGCGCGCUGCUGAGGCUGUGGAUGGAAGCUGCGGCUUGGCUGGGGGUGGCCGUCACUCUGGCACCGGACCCUGGAGCCGAGUUUAAACAGGACUUCGAUGGUAGGGGAUGAUGCCCUGGGAAGGGUUGGCUAAGCCUGUUGUGAGACACGCAGGGGAAGCUGCAAGGUUAUUCCGUGGUAGAGGAGAGCUGAGACCAAGACCGGCAGCAGCAGCCGAGGAGGAGGCCUGAGCUCCCCGCCUGGGGCACCUGCAGGUCAGCUUUGAAUCUGCAUUUUUACCUUGAGAUGUUACCUCUGUUAGAGGCAAAGGCUCCUUGCUAAGUGUUUGACUCACAUUCACCCCUCUUUUCCCUAGCCCCCCACUUGUCACCCGCCUGCAGGCUUGCUUCUGUCCAGGACCCCUCAGCACAAGAGGCCACUCAAGCCACAGCCCUGUGGGCAGGGUCCACGCUUGCGCACAGCCUCCCCUCCCGGUGCCUCACUGCGCUUGCUCCUGCGGCUGCAUCAGGGCUCACGUUCGUCCCACUGCUCCCGCCUCUCCUGGUGAAGAGCGCAUUUGCCCAUAACCCAGUCCCCAAGGCCCUGAAAUGUGAGCGUCAGCCUCUCGGGGAGAGCCACGGUCCUCGAGACCUGCUAGGCAAGACUGAAGCACGUGUCGAUCCGCCAGCAGUGGACUGCUGUUGAGGUUUGCCCCAAGGUUGAAGGCAGACGUUCUUGCUGCUCAGAGGAAGGAGAAGACAAGCAGCAAACGCGGGAGUGGCUUUGAGGCUCUUUCUCACCCUGUGCCUGAGAAAAGCAGAGAAGAAACAGAUGUGGAGCCAAGAAACCAGACAGACAUUGGGCAUUAGGAUCACUGGAAAAAACCCGGGUUUGAGGGUGAGUGGGAGAAGCAGAAAGAAGACAAGACACGAUUCUCUGCAUACAAGGAGGGUGGAGCCCCGAGUUAUCCAGGUCCGACAGGCGGAAGAGAAGGGCUUUUCAGCCAUUUGACUCUUAAACCUGCUGCCCUGGGUUCAGUGCUUGGAUCUGACACUUGGUGGCUGAGUGGCCUCUGCUCCGUUUUCUCCGUGGUCGGGAUACUGGUAGCAUCUGCCUCAGAGGUCACUGGGAGGACUGCCUGGGUGGUACGUGUGGCAGCACUUAGCAGAGCCUGGCACAUGGUAUGUGCUCCACGAGUCCCAGUUCUUGAUGCUGCCUUCCUAGGGCUUUGGUUUCAGUGACAAGUAAAGGGACUGGGGGGGCAGUUGGCUCUGUCAUGUCCUUUGGUGGAGAUGCACACAGUCUACCUCUUGAGGAUGUGCAGAGGAGGACUGUAGGUGCCCCUGGCUGGAGCUGGCUGGGCCUCUGCAGGGUGGGCCCACAGACGUGACUGAAUUGUACACGUGGCCAGGUUUUCAUGUCUUUGGGACAUGAAGAUGAAAGGAGGAGAUCAAAGUCUGCCUGUUAGAAGUGAAAUUUGUUGAUCAGAACCCAGAGCACCAAGGAUAUACCUGAAGAGCCUUAUUUAUGCAAACAUCUCUGCAACCCCAAAAUCCUGUUGGGAAAGCAGAGGCACAAACAGCCUUCUCUCUCAGGUUUUGUCUUUGGAACAUGAGUACCCUGUGUGGCUCUUCUGCAUUAAUUUGAAUACCAUCCAGCACUAGACUUGAGUAAAACCCGAACAGGAAGCUGAAUGUUGACAAGUUGUUUUCAUUCUGGAAAGUGAAGCUUAGUGUGAUCCUCAGGCGUGGACUCCUUAUAACCUCCUAUGUUGAGAUUCCCGAGCUGCAGCCACAGUCCACCUGGUUAAGCCGGUCGUGGGGUCUCAGGAGCCCCCUCGGAGGAGAUGGGACUCAGACAUCCGGGAUAAACAGUGUGGAGGAGAUGAAAAGAUGCAACAAAGCAUCACACAGUCCAAGGCCAGUGGUCAACAAAGACCCAUCAGGUCCCGUUAAGGGCUUCUUUGUUUUGUUUCCAAACCUCCCUCCCCAGCUUGGCUUGUUUGCAGGCCUCAAGCUCCACGUGCUUGGAUACAUUGCCUUGUCUUUCUGGAUGCCUCCUGGGCGUUUCUGAUGCUCCUGUCUUGCCAGGCCGAGACCAGAACUCACACUCAUGCCCUCAGAGGCUGAAGAGAUGACGUCUCAGUUUUGCAUGAAAAUUCAUGGCGCUGCAGUAGCAUUCACGUUGAAGAAACAUGUCUUCUGCUUGCAUUGGGAGGAACCCCUGCUUUGCAGUGGUAACAGCACCAAACUGGCCAAGUCUAGCAGGAUGGCAGCAGAAUUCCAGCUUUCCUAGAUCUCGGGGCACCUUCCCUUUUUAAUCCCCCCCCUCCAACACACACACUCUCAGUGCAGUGUCUUAGUGCAAGAGUCUUGGUAGCCUUCCCUGCCACCAGGCCUUGGUUUCUGAAACUCUGAAUCUUGGUGCGACGAGGGUUGGAGGCAGGGUGGAGGGAAUCAUGCUUCUUUCCC